Molecule: small RNA, 34 nt
Filed under: Bombyx mori (domestic silkworm)
Lineage: Eukaryota; Metazoa; Arthropoda; Insecta; Lepidoptera; Bombycidae
Description: ovarian small RNA-17694
Source: RNAcentral
GUCAAGUAAUUAAGUGCAUGUGGUGGAUGCCUUG